GCAAGUCGAGGGGUAACGGAAGUAGCUUGCUACUAGACGACGACCGGCGCACAGGUGAGUAACGCGUAUGUAAUCUGCCUUGUACAGAGGGAUAGCCCAGAGAAAUUUGGAUUAAUACCUCAUAGUAUUACCGAAUCGCAUGAUUUGGUAAUUAAAGCUCCGGCGGUACAAGAUGAACAUGCGUGACAUUAGCUAGUUGGUAAGGUAACGGCUUACCAAGGCUACGAUGUCUAGGGGUUCUGAGAGGAUGAUCCCCCACACUGGUACUGAGACACGGACCAGACUCCUACGGGAGGCAGCAGUGAGGAAUAUUGGUCAAUGGACGCAAGUCUGAACCAGCCAUCCCGCGUGAAGGAUGACUGCCCUAUGGGUUGUAAACUUCUUUUAUAUGCAAAUAAACCUACUUUCGUGAAAGUAGCUGAAGGUAGCAUAUGAAUAAACACCGGCUAACUCCGUGCCAGCAGCCGCGGUAAUACGGAGGGUGUAAGCGUUAUCCGGAUUUAUUGGGUUUAAAGGGUACGUAGGCGGUAAUAUAAGUCAGUGGUGAAAUCCUGCAGCUCAACUGUAGAACUGCCAUUGAAACUGUAU
RNAcentral lists this ribosomal RNA (588 nucleotides) under uncultured bacterium. RNAcentral describes it as "bacterial SSU rRNA". It matches the Rfam family "Bacterial small subunit ribosomal RNA", at positions 57 to 638 of the family's 1533-position model. The record is from RNAcentral.